RNAcentral lists this ribosomal RNA (539 nucleotides) under Anopheles sinensis. RNAcentral describes it as "eukaryotic LSU rRNA". The record is from RNAcentral. Lineage: Eukaryota; Metazoa; Arthropoda; Insecta; Diptera; Culicidae.
CAUGAACAUUGAUAAGUUGAACGCAUAUUGCACGUCGUGGGAACCUACCAUGAUGUACACAUACUUGAGUGCUUAUAAUUAGAAGUGGAAUACAGCUGACUACGGAUUGAUUGGUGCUGGUCACCACGUCAUGAAGUGCAUAAUGAUGUAAGAGGGGUCUCGCCGAUCCGCUUGCAUUGAAGGCUUGUGUUGAAAGAACCGUGAAGACGAACAAGUAGCAAAGCUUUUGUGUUCCCGCGAACGGCGGAAGUAUAACAAGCGUGCGUGCCUGUUGCUGUGCGUAGAUGGAGCAGGAGUCUUCCUCAUCUAUUUUAUUUUUUUAAAAUUGAGGUAAGACUUCAAACGUUUCCUUCGAGAUAGUUAGCAGGCGCAAAUAAUUGCCAAUACCGAUGUUGAACAACGGAACACAACACAAAGUAUGAAAACACUACCCAGAAUUUGUGCGGAACGGAAAGUAAAUGCAAGUAAAACCAAAGGAACAUUAUCACUUACGAGUGAGGCCACUCGGUGGUCAGAUAAGCCUCAAGUUAUGUGUGACA